This 247-nucleotide ribosomal RNA is filed under the name uncultured archaeon. RNAcentral's name for it is "partial 16S ribosomal RNA". It matches the Rfam family "Archaeal small subunit ribosomal RNA", at positions 691 to 937 of the family's 1478-position model. The record is from RNAcentral.
CCGACGGUGAGGGGCGAAAGCUGGGGGAGCAAACCGGAUUAGAUACCCGGGUAGUCCCAGCUGUAAACGAUGCGCGUUAGGUGUGUCAGUGACCACGUGUCACUGAUGUGCCGAAGGGAAACCGUGAAACGCGCCGCCUGGGGAGUACGGUCGCAAGGCUGAAACUUAAAGGAAUUGGCGGGGGAGCACCACAACGGGUGGAGCCUGCUGUUUAAUCGGACUCAACGCCGGAAAUCUCACCGGAUAA